UUUGAGAGCACGGGGAAGUAAAAUUAACAAAGAUGUAUUGUCAAGGGACUACCUGGAUCAGUGAUUUGUUUUCGGAUGCUGGUUAAUCCAUUUAGAUAUUAAUUGAUGCAAGUUCUUCUCCGACCCUGAACUUCUUCUCACAGCAACAAAUUCCUACCAUCACAUGAACACAGUAACACAGUAAAUUCAUCACAACAACAAAGCCAUAGAGUUUAGGGCGCGCAAGCACAAACCUGAAUCCUUGCGCGGAGGUGGCGAUGGCGGACCCGAGAGUGAGCGUUAGUUCCGUGAGAGGACAGAGGCAUUAGGGUUUCGU
RNAcentral lists this long non-coding RNA (316 nucleotides) under Phaseolus vulgaris (common bean). RNAcentral's name for it is "long non-coding RNA (PVUL_LNC003126)". The record is from RNAcentral. Lineage: Eukaryota; Viridiplantae; Streptophyta; Magnoliopsida; Fabales; Fabaceae.